AUAUUUAUCCUAUCAAUUAAAUCCAAUUUGCUAACCCUGUUCUCUCUCUCCUAACCCAACACAGACGCUUCUUAUCCUCCCUUUCCUCUUCUUCACAAAAUUUCAUCCUUGAUCAAUCAUGGCAGAACUUGUCAUUACCAUUUUUGAACAAGAAGCUCUGCACCCCAUUUAAUUUUCUUCAACAUCAACGUUCAAAUUUCAAAACGUUCAAUAGCUUUUCACUCAAUUUCGAAAUCCCGCCUAAAUCAAAAACCCUUGAAAUCAGCUUAUAAAUACCCGCCUUUGAAGAGAUUUUCGAUGAAGCUUCAGCCCCCUCCUUUAACCUGAGGCUCAGAGCUGCCCACUUUCACCCCCAAAGUUGGAAUCCUCAGCUCCCUCUAACCUUUGUUUAGCCGCCAUCCCUUCCUCUCAAAAUUUCCUUCUUUUUAAUCUCUAAGUUCUGUUGGUUUAACCAAAACAGAAACAUUUUUUAUUUCUUUGUCCUAGCGAUUAACGUUGAUUCGAGGUAGCGAGUCCGAGGUCGGAGUUUGAUAGUGCACCUUAGAUCCCCGCCUCAGUUCACUGCCCUGCAAGAGAUCCGUAUCUUCUUCUCCUUCGCUAUAGGAAUCUUAAUGCUAGACUUUCAUACCCGCAUAUGGAGUCUUCAUUCGGAACUUGCAAAGAUGGUGUUUCAUCACCACCAGAUAGAGUCAAUACACGACAUAUCAUCCUUAGAAUGCACCGGAUAGCGAGAAAAUAAGCUAAACGCUUGGGGUCCUUCUUCUUCUUCUAAUUCUUUUGCCAUUCAUCUUAUCUAAUUUUUGUGAUUGUUAAUUUACUUGUGUAUUUGGAUUUGAUCACAAGUUUGGGCUUAAUCAGAUAGGUUCUUUGCUCUAGCAUACUAAUGGUGAUUAGAAUAAGAAAUUUAAGAUCGUUUUUAGUGACUUUUUCAAUUAUGUAAAACCGAGUCUUUUCUAAGAAAAUUAACCUGUGAAAUUUUAACAA
Nicotiana tabacum (common tobacco) is the source of this 984-nucleotide long non-coding RNA. RefSeq lists it as uncharacterized. The record is from RefSeq and is a predicted model, not a curated record. Lineage: Eukaryota; Viridiplantae; Streptophyta; Magnoliopsida; Solanales; Solanaceae.